GGACAGAUCCUGACGUCCAAUCAAGACACAAACUGCUUCUGGCCAGUCUGAGGCAGGCUGCUCUCGGCAGUAAUAUAUUGCAUCUCUGAUAGGAAGAGCCACACCAAAGGGGAGAGUCUCCAGAUCUCUUAAGGUGAAACCAAUAUUAGUCAACCAAAUAAUUAGCUUCUCAGCGAGGCUGGAAAUAGAUGCGCUGUGUCCGAAACAGCAUCGAUUGUCAUCAUGUUCUAUUUGUU
Molecule: long non-coding RNA, 236 nt
Filed under: Gallus gallus (chicken)
Lineage: Eukaryota; Metazoa; Chordata; Aves; Galliformes; Phasianidae
Source: RNAcentral